This is a non-coding RNA of Cylindrospermum stagnale PCC 7417, 45 nucleotides long. The record is from Rfam. Lineage: Bacteria; Bacillati; Cyanobacteriota; Cyanophyceae; Nostocales; Nostocaceae.
UUUAAGGAUUUUCUCAAAUCCACAAUCAUUACAAUGGUGAUAGGU